RNAcentral lists this ribosomal RNA (500 nucleotides) under uncultured sulfate-reducing bacterium. RNAcentral's name for it is "bacterial SSU rRNA". It matches the Rfam family "Bacterial small subunit ribosomal RNA", at positions 340 to 828 of the family's 1533-position model. The record is from RNAcentral.
UACGGGAGGCAGCAGUGGGGAAUAUUGCGCAAUGGGCGAAAGCCUGACGCAGCGACGCCGUGUGAGGGAUGAAGGCUUUCGGGUCGUAAACCUCUGUCAGAAGGGAAGAACGGGCAUUGGUCUAAUAGGCCUUUGUUUUGACGGUACCUUCAGAGGAAGCACCGGCUAACUCCGUGCCAGCAGCCGCGGUAAUACGGAGGGUGCAAGCGUUAUUCGGAAUUACUGGGCGUAAAGCGCACGUAGGCGGCCUUGUAAGUCAGGGGUGAAAUCCCACGGCUCAACCGUGGAACUGCCUUUGAAACUGCAGGGCUUGAAUCCUGGAGAGGGUGGCGGAAUUCCUGGUGUAGGAGUGAAAUCCGUAGAUAUCAGGAGGAACACCGGUGGCGAAGGCGGCCACCUGGACAGGUAUUGACGCUGAGGUGCGAAAGUGUGGGGAGCAAACAGGAUUAGAUACCCCUGGUAGUCCACCCCNNNAAGGCGAUGAAUACUAGAUGCCGGGC